UGGGGAAUAUUGGGCAAUGGGCGCAAGCCUGACCCAGCAACGCCGCGUGAGGGAAGAAGGCUUUCGGGUUGUAAACCUCUGUCCUUGGUGACGAAAAAAAUGACGGUAGCCAAGGAGGAAGCCCCGGCUAACUACGUGCCAGCAGCCGCGGUAAUACGUAGGGGGCGAGCGUUGUCCGGAAUUACUGGGCGUAAAGGGUGUGUAGGCGGUCUGGUAAGUUGGAUGUGAAAAGCCCGGGCUUAACCUGGGAGGUGCAUCCAAUACUGUUGGACUAGAGUGCAGGAGAGGAAAGCGGAAUUCCUAGUGUAGCGGUGAAAUGCGUAGAUAUUAGGAGGAACACCAGUGGCGAAGGCGGCUUUCUGGACUGUAACUGACGCUGAGGCACGAAAGCGUGGGGAGCAAACAGG
RNAcentral lists this ribosomal RNA (407 nucleotides) under uncultured bacterium. Its description in RNAcentral is "bacterial SSU rRNA". It matches the Rfam family "Bacterial small subunit ribosomal RNA", at positions 355 to 776 of the family's 1533-position model. The record is from RNAcentral.